CCAGGUUAAGGAAGGCAAAUUUGUGGUGAGUACAAUUUCAUUGUAAGAUCAAGAACAAUGCCAUGUCCUCCAAGACAUAGUGACCCAACUUUCUUCCUGAAAACAAAUUUGAGCUCUUUAGUAAAUCUUACAGUCUGGUGCAUGUCUCAUGUGCAUGACGCAUUUGUUUGGUUUCCCCCAGGGCCAAGGUCCAAUGUCCUGUACAAACCACAGGGAGACCAGGUCCUAAAGGACAGAGGGGUCGAAAGGGUGCCAAAGGAACUGAAGGUGCCAUCGGAGAGCCAGGAUUCCCAGGAGAGAUGGGAGAUCCCGGUAUUGAAGGCCCAAUAGGUUUGCCUGGACAAAAGGUCAGUAGUAUUACAUGCAGUACUAGAGCCUUGACUUGUUCUACUAUUUAUUUAUCCACACUUUCACA
This is a long non-coding RNA of Anguilla rostrata (American eel), 415 nucleotides long. RefSeq lists it as uncharacterized. The transcript is spliced from 3 exons. The record is from RefSeq and is a predicted model, not a curated record. NCBI's taxonomy places the organism in Eukaryota, Metazoa, Chordata, Actinopteri, Anguilliformes, Anguillidae.